GAUGAACGCUGGCGGCGUGCUUAACACAUGCAAGUCGAACGGAAAGGCCCCUGCUUGCAGGGGUACUCGAGUGGCGAACGGGUGAGUAACACGUGGGUGAUCUGCCCUGCACUUCGGGAUAAGCCUGGGAAACUGGGUCUAAUACCGGAUAGGACCACAUUUUGGAUGGUGUGGUGGAAAGUUUUUCGGUGUGGGAUGAGCUCGCGGCCUAUCAGCUUGUUGGUGGGGUAAUGGCCUACCAAGGCGUCGACGGGUAGCCGGCCUGAGAGGGUGUACGGCCACAUUGGGACAGAGAGACGGCCCAGACUCCUACGGGGGGCAGCAGUGGGGGAUAUUGCACAAUGGGCGCAAGCCUGAGGCAGCGACGCCGCGUGGGGGAUGACGGCCUUCGGGUUGUAAACUCCUUUCGCUAGGGACGAAGCGUUUUUGUGACGGUACCUGGAGAAGAAGCACCGGCUAACUACGUG
Molecule: ribosomal RNA, 467 nt
Filed under: uncultured bacterium
Lineage: Bacteria
Description: partial 16S ribosomal RNA
Rfam family: Bacterial small subunit ribosomal RNA
Source: RNAcentral